AUGACUAGCCUCAUCAGCAAAGUGUCGGGCGCCGUGGCCGCCAGCGCGCGCAGCGUCUCGCGCGCCACACGCCGCCUCCUGCUGCGAGGACGGCGGUCCCGGCGGAGAAACGGGCACAAGAAGGAGCGAUAUGCUGCUGCUGCGGCAACGGACGCUGUGUGCGAGGACGACAGCGGAGCUCUGUGGCGCCGGGAGAUACUGAUGGGGCAGCGGUGCGAACCACUCAACUUCUCCGGUGCCAUCCACUACGACAGCCAGGGCCGGCCGAUCUGGCAGCCCCGCCGCAGGGCCAUGGCGGCCAAGAUGCUCUGCCGAUCUUCGGACGUCGUGGACGACGCAGUCGUCGCGUGUCCAACAAAGUGA
This 363-nucleotide ribosomal RNA is filed under the name Triticum aestivum (bread wheat). RNAcentral's name for it is "partial small subunit ribosomal RNA". The record is from RNAcentral. Lineage: Eukaryota; Viridiplantae; Streptophyta; Magnoliopsida; Poales; Poaceae.